Long non-coding RNA from Notolabrus celidotus (New Zealand spotty), 395 nucleotides. RefSeq lists it as uncharacterized. The transcript is spliced from 2 exons. Lineage: Eukaryota; Metazoa; Chordata; Actinopteri; Labriformes; Labridae. The record is from RefSeq and is a predicted model, not a curated record.
AUGAACUUUGUCACACCUUUAAGUCAUGAUUAUCCAAAAUGUUUGACUGUGUAUUCGUAGCUAACAUUACUCUGUGUUUGAGCAUCAAGCUAACGUUAGUUUAUUGCAAUGUUAGCUUCGUGUAAAGUUAGCUGUCCUUUAGCUGGCUAGCUAGCUAGCCAAAAACAACUAAAGAAUGACCUGAGAAAGUGUGCCAACUACAGGCAAGGAAUCUGAGAUGGAACUGGCCAGAGGAGGGCGACACCUGCUGGUUCUCUUCAGAUCUCCUGCAGCAAAUUGGCGGGGAAAAAGCCAAGCUUUCGACCCGUACUGACCUUCAGGUAGCCGUUCACCUCCUCUCCCUUCUUCACCACAAUCUGAGGAGAGACAACAAAAUAAACAUUCUUAGCCGGAAA